AGCGAACGCUGGCGGCAGGCCUAACACAUGCAAGUCGAACGAACCUUUCGGGGUUAGUGGCGGACGGGUGAGUAACACGUGGGAACGUGCCUUUAGGUUCGGAAUAACUCAGGGAAACUUGUGCUAAUACCGAAUGUGCCCUUCGGGGGAAAGAUUUAUCGCCUUUAGAGCGGCCCGCGUCUGAUUAGCAAGUUGGUUGAGGUAAUGGCUCACCAAGGCGACGAUCAGUAGCUGGUCUGAGAGGAUGAUCAGCCACAUUGGGACUGAGACACGGCCCAAACUCCUACGGUAGGCAGCAGUGGGGAAUCUUGCGCAAUGGGCGAAAGCCUGACGCAGCCAUGCCGCGUGAAUGAUGAAGGUCUUAGGAUUGUAAAAUUCUUUCACCGGGGACGAUAAUGACGGUACCCGGAGAAGAAGCCCCGGCUAACUUCGUG
This 434-nucleotide ribosomal RNA is filed under the name uncultured bacterium. Its description in RNAcentral is "partial 16S ribosomal RNA". It matches the Rfam family "Bacterial small subunit ribosomal RNA", at positions 29 to 507 of the family's 1533-position model. The record is from RNAcentral.